RNAcentral lists this long non-coding RNA (232 nucleotides) under Vigna radiata. RNAcentral's name for it is "long non-coding RNA (VRAD_LNC015942)". Lineage: Eukaryota; Viridiplantae; Streptophyta; Magnoliopsida; Fabales; Fabaceae. The record is from RNAcentral.
UGCUCAGUUUACAACACUUCUCUCAUAAUUUCCUUAGCCAAAACCCCAUUUUUAGACAAAAUGACUUACAAUCAACAUCAACCAUUUCUUUCCCCCAAUUCAAUCAUCAUACUAACUUCACAAACACUAAUUUACAAGUCAUUAACACAUACAAACAGAUUUAACAUGUUCUAUAUCAUUCAUCAUUACACAAAACAUCAUUUAGAUCAUUAUCAUCAAAGUACGAUUAGAU